Poecile atricapillus (Black-capped chickadee) is the source of this 453-nucleotide long non-coding RNA. RefSeq lists it as uncharacterized. Lineage: Eukaryota; Metazoa; Chordata; Aves; Passeriformes; Paridae. The record is from RefSeq and is a predicted model, not a curated record. The transcript has 4 exons.
AAAUGUUUUCCUGCCCCGUGUCAUUUUUCUCAGUUUCACCUUGUUAAAAACCUCACGAAAUCGUAGCAGUUUUUACAUCCCUGCUCCCGCUCCGUUGUUACUGAUUUAAACCAAAGUUCCCGGCUGAUUUUUCACUUGGUUUCCACCAUAAAUCAUCUUGUUUUGGAAUCAAACAACUGCCAAUGAUGACAAGAAGAGGGGAAAAAGGCAGAUUGCCUCUCUGGACAGCAAUUAGUUGCUAAAAUGUCUUCCCUGCAUUGGUGAUUGAAGAGCACAGUACUACAGAGUCUAGGAAAAAUACUCAUCUGAUUAUGCUAGAGGAACUCCUACCUGGAUUAUCUCAGGAGCUACUUGCAAAGAAGGCAAAUACUCUUGCUGAAGAUACUGAAUGCACUCAGGACCCUAAAGAAAAGCAGUACACAUUUUUUUCAUGUCUUUUUUUUUUUUUUUUUU